UACUGAUAUUGGUGAGGGUAAUUUCUAGGAAUACCUUUAAAUCUUUCCCAAGCUUGGUAAAUAUUUUCUCCUUUUUUCUGCUUGAAACGUAGAAUCUUUGCUCUCAAGCA
Molecule: small nucleolar RNA, 110 nt
Filed under: Capsicum annuum
Lineage: Eukaryota; Viridiplantae; Streptophyta; Magnoliopsida; Solanales; Solanaceae
Description: Plant small nucleolar RNA R71
Rfam family: Plant small nucleolar RNA R71
About the family: R71 is a member of the C/D box family of snoRNAs containing the C (UGAUGA) and D (CUGA) box motifs. Multiple nearly identical copies of this snoRNA have been identified in Arabidopsis, and it is thought to function as a 2'-O-ribose methylation guide for 18S ribosomal RNA.
Source: Rfam by way of RNAcentral